AGAACGAACGCUGGCGGCAUGCCUAACACAUGCAAGUCGAACGUGAUCCAGGCUUCGGCCUGGUGAAAGUGGCAGACGGGUGAGUAACGCGUGGGAACCUGCCCUGUGGUAGGGAAUAACCGUGGGAAACUGCGGCUAAUACCCUAUGAGUCCUUCGGGAGAAAGAUUUAUCGCCAUAGGAGGGGCCCGCGUCGGAUUAGGUAGUUGGUGGGGUAACGGCCUACCAAGCCUUCGAUCCGUAGCUGGUCUGAGAGGAUGAUCAGCCACACUGGGACUGAGAUACGGCCCAGACUCCUACGGGAGGCAGCAGUGGGAAUAUUGGACAAUGGGGGCAACCCUGAUCCAGCAAUGCCGCGUGGAUGAUGAAGGCCUUCGGGUUGUAAAGUCCGUUUCGGCGGGGAAGAUGAUGACGGUACCGCAGAAGAACGCCCCGGCUAACUUCGUGCCAGCAGCCG
RNAcentral lists this ribosomal RNA (455 nucleotides) under uncultured bacterium. Its description in RNAcentral is "SSU rRNA". It matches the Rfam family "Bacterial small subunit ribosomal RNA", at positions 26 to 517 of the family's 1533-position model. The record is from RNAcentral.